UCGACAUGCAGGCAACGGCUCUCCUAAUUUGAAAUUCACCUGUCGUCUUUCAUCCAGCGAAUUCAUCCUCGCACAACACUGAGAUGAAGGCGAAGUCACCAUGAAAAGUUAAACGUUUACCGUUAAGCUACAGUAAUUGAUGUUGAAAAACUGAUGCAACCAAUCACUCCUCACUUGAUUAUUCAAGCCCAGAUUGUGAUGGACCUGGAAUGCGAAACCAGUUACUCUUAAGACAAGAACCGAAUAAAGCACAGAUGUGGAGGGAUUUGCAGCCAAACUAACUGGAGGGAAGGAACCUUUAGUGUGGGUGAACAUACUACCUGGAUGUCCAACAAAGGCUGCACAAGAGCUCAUUUGAUAGCACACAUUCUGUCCUGUCUACAUCUCUGAUGACCUGGAAGUGCUUCGACAUCAGAUCAUCAGAAGUGCUGCUGCCCUUUUUCACUGUCCCUUUCCACAUCAUUUGGCCUUCAUCAUUUCCUGUCUUGUAGCAGUAUUUUCACCUGUUUUUAAAAUUGUAAUAAUUUUUGAUGCAUUAAUUGUUGACUGGUUUUAAUGAUCAAUUGUUUAUUAGUGUUCUGUUGCUCUGUUAUAUUGAAUUAUUGCUACUGUUUUAGCAUGGUUUACACAAUAAACCUUUAUU
Non-coding RNA from Danio rerio (zebrafish), 643 nucleotides. Lineage: Eukaryota; Metazoa; Chordata; Actinopteri; Cypriniformes; Danionidae. The record is from Ensembl.